GUAGGUGGCAAGCGUUGUCCGGAAUUAUUGGGCGUAAAGCGCGCGCAGGCGGUUCUUUAAGUCUGAUGUGAAAGCCCACGGCUCAACCGUGGAGGGUCAUUGGAAACUGGAGAACUUGAGUACAGAAGAGGAAAGCGGAAUUCCACGUGUAGCGGUGAAAUGCGUAGAGAUGUGGAGGAACACCAGUGGCGAAGGCGGCUUUCUGGUCUGUAACUGACGCUGAGGCGCGAAAGCGUGGGGAGCAAACAGGGAUUAGAUACCCUGGUAGUCCACGCCGUAAACGAUGAGUGCUAAGUGUUAGGGGGGGUUUCCGCCCCCGUUAGUGCUGCAGCUAACGCAUUAAGCACUCCGCCUGGGGUAGUACGGCCGCAAGGCUG
Molecule: ribosomal RNA, 377 nt
Filed under: uncultured organism
Description: partial 16S ribosomal RNA
Rfam family: Bacterial small subunit ribosomal RNA
Source: RNAcentral